AUAAGAAAGUAGGAAAGGGCGCAUGGAGGAUGCCUAGGCUCUCAGAGGCGAAGAAGGACGUGAUAAGCUGCGAA
RNAcentral lists this ribosomal RNA (74 nucleotides) under Marinilabiliaceae bacterium JC017. Its description in RNAcentral is "partial 23S ribosomal RNA". The record is from RNAcentral. Lineage: Bacteria; Pseudomonadati; Bacteroidota; Bacteroidia; Marinilabiliales; Marinilabiliaceae.